Molecule: ribosomal RNA, 460 nt
Filed under: Scolopendra cf. amazonica JJ-2011
Lineage: Eukaryota; Metazoa; Arthropoda; Chilopoda; Scolopendromorpha; Scolopendridae
Description: partial 16S ribosomal RNA
Rfam family: Bacterial large subunit ribosomal RNA
Source: RNAcentral
UCAGCCUGCUCAAUGUUUUAAUAAAUAGCCGCAGUAUUUUGACUGUGCGAAGGUAGCGUGAUAAUUAGGCUAUUAAUUGUAGUCUUGAAUGAAUGGUUAGACAUAAGAUCUUCUGUUUUUUUUAUAAAAAUGAAUUUUAAUAAUUAGUAAUAAUGCUAAUAUACUGCAUAAGGACGAGAAGACCCUAUUGAGUUUAAUACAACUGUUUUAAAUAUGAUAGAGCAAAUUAAAAGAAGUAUAUUUGAUUGGGGCGAUCUUAAUAUAAAACAUUAAAUAUAAUAAAAAUAUUGAUCCAUUAUUAGUGAUUAAUAGAAUAAAUUACCAUAGGGAUAACAGCAUAAUUUCAUUGUAAAGUUCUUAUUGAUAAUGAAGUUUGUGACCUCGAUGUUGAAUUAAGAUUCCUAAUGGGCGCAGGAGUUCAUAAAGGUAGACUGUUCGUCUAUUAAAUUCUUACAUGACU